UUCUAGGUGUGGUAUAAAAAGCUAAAAUUUGCUGACCACUGCAAUGGGCAUGUGGAAAACACAUUUAAAAUGGCAGUGGACUUAGCUGUAAAAUGUAGUUAAAGGGAUAGUUCACCCAAAAAUAAAAAUGAUGUCAUUAAUAACUCACCCUCAUGUCAUUCCAAUCCUGUGAGACCUCCGUUUAUCUUCGGAACAUAGUUUAAGAUAUUUUAGAUUAAGUCCAAGAGCUGUAAGUCCCUCCAUUGAAACUGUGUGCACGGUAUACUGUCCAUGUCUAGAAAGGUAAGAAAAACAUCAUCAAAGUAGUCCAUGUGACAUCAAAGGGUCAUUUAGAAUUUUUUGAAGCGAAAACUUUGCAAUAGAUGAAAAACCAACUGCUCCCUCGUGACCUUUUGUAAACUGUAUUUAUGACCAAGAACUGCACAGAUACAGAUAUUCUAACAAUCUAUCGAUAAACACAUACCCUGUGUCCUCUGUGUUUAUGUGUACUUGCGCUGCUCCGCCGCAGUCUGCGGAUUGAAGAGCACGCUAAAGACGGAGAGGAGACUGGUCUGACACCGGUUUCAUAUUAAAUUUAAAACUCUCUGGAGUCUAAGGGUAUUUUUGGGGCCUGGAGAAGUUUUGUCAUGCCCUGACAUUUGUGCUUUUUCAGUUUCUUAUAAAUAUCUAAAUGGGUAAAGUCUAAUCUCACUGUAAUCAGCACAAACUGGGCUAUAAUAAUAUGUGAAAUGCAUGUAUGUAUAUGAUUGUGUUUUUUGAGAAAAAAAAUAGAAAAGGAAAAAAAAGGCCAUAAAACACAUAAAGAACAAUGGUUCCCAGGAUUUUUGAGAACUGGAGCUUGUAGCCUAGAAUUUUUCUUUCUAAAUUAUGUGAAAAUCAUCUUGUUUACUCACUCAUAGAAAACAAUAUAUUGAUUUAAAUUUUCUAAGACACUUUUUGUUGGUAAAAGUCAAAUGCGAGUAGGCAUCAACUAUCUAGAAUAUCAUUGUGAUUUACACCUGAGAAGACAAAGGGCCACAAAAUGAGCUGCAUAAUGAGCCUCUCAGUCAGCUGUGCCACUGUGAGUGAGGAGUAAAGAAUGUGAGAACAAAAUAAAUGUAUAUAAUUUUAUGUUUGUAGUUUAUUUAGAAUAUAUUUAAUUAUCCCACAACAUAAUUUAAUAUCCACUUGGGGGAGCAGUUAAACAGUUUAUUAGAAACAGGGACUGACUCUUUAUUACAGCAUUUGCAUAACAGCUGUUACUUGAUGCGUUUUAUUCUUCUACCGAUUACUGAAAUUACACAGAUUCAUUUUGGCAUUAAUAGUUUUGGCACAGUAACACAUAAUUCAGAGUCUGAAGAAGUGAACAGCUUCGAGUAGAAUGUCAUGGGUUGUCAUCUAGUAAUUACAACAUGGCAUGAAUGCAGCACAAUUAUAUUUAAUAUUUACAUAUAAUGUAUAUAUUUUUAGGGAUCCAUAUGUAAUUGCCCUAAGAUCAGUUGCUCUACCCUCUCACCCGCCCACAGAGGAAUUCCACAGGGGUGAGGUGGUCUGCGCUGGCUUCACAAUUUAUGAAGUUUCACAAAGUGUCUCGAAGAUUUCCUACUAUAACCAGACCAGUCCAGAAGUCCUGCCAUACAUCUCCACUGACAUUGCAGGCCUCUCGUCCAGUUUCUACUCAAUAUUCUGUGCAUGCAGGCAGUACCUACUGGACAACAUAAUCAGCACAUCUGUGUUCACCUCUUCUGCAUUAUAACUAGCAGCUGCUGGGCUUAACUGAAUCAUGAUGUGCUACGACUGAUAUUUCAGUUUAUGCUUUUACAGGGGCCAUAUCUAAUUUUUUUGUAGUAUUCUUAAUUUUUUCCUACUAGUCUAUUAGGGUAAAGCUAGGAAUAAACUGAGUUCAGAUACUCAUGAGUUUGUGACACAUUGCACACGUUACGUUAUCAGUUAACCUGCACGACUGUACUGUAUGGUAAACACAGGUUGAACUUUCAGUGUUGCUGCUAUUGCUUUGGAAAGAAAAAGAAAAAAAACAUUGACUGUGCAACCCAGACAGCAAUCAGUUUUGGCCCGAUUUUGGCCCGCAUGGUUUUCAAACUGGCCAGAUGUGGGCCGGAUCUGGCCCAACACUAUGUUGCUGUCUGGGAAGUUUUAGAGAACAGCAAAGUAAUUUGGUUAAAAAUGGAGAGUCUGCAAUCUCCAGUUGUGAUGUGUCUGUGUAUGAUUUGGGAACGGGGUGAAUUCUGGUCAUAUUCAGACCGACCUUUGAAUUCUUUCUCAGGAAUUUUCCUCACUGUUUGCUCAUAACAAAUAUAUUGACUCACUGAA
Long non-coding RNA from Carassius gibelio (silver crucian carp), 2310 nucleotides. RefSeq lists it as uncharacterized. The transcript has 2 exons. The record is from RefSeq and is a predicted model, not a curated record. Lineage: Eukaryota; Metazoa; Chordata; Actinopteri; Cypriniformes; Cyprinidae.